Long non-coding RNA from Lagopus leucura (white-tailed ptarmigan), 852 nucleotides. RefSeq lists it as uncharacterized. The record is from RefSeq and is a predicted model, not a curated record. Lineage: Eukaryota; Metazoa; Chordata; Aves; Galliformes; Phasianidae. The transcript is spliced from 2 exons.
GCCCUCAGAGAACAGGAGCCUUCCAGAUAUCCGAGCUGCAGCAUAAAAAGCAUUAGAUGACAUAAUACUUCAUUACAGGAAAAAAAAAAAAGAGGCAUAUAAACAAAUGGAGGCUCUGACUGGUAACACUGGGAAAGCCUGGUGCUUCAACUCACAGAAAGCUGUCGACAAAAGCUCUCCGGGGAAGGGGGGCGAUUCACAGAGCUCCGUGCUGCUGUGCCGCAAAGGCGCUCUGUCAUACAAUAAUUGGUCCUGACCACACCUAGUGCAUUAGUCCUCGUGGGCUGCAAGUACAACCUCAUUACUCCUGGCUCCUGGAUGAGCAGAUCAGAAGGGGAUCAAACUACAGCACAAGCCAGAAGCCAGGAAUUCAAGGGACGGCGGCACAACAAAACCAGAGAGAAACAGGAACUUGUCGAAGCAGAUCCCCUCAUCUACCUGGAGUGGGGAGGAGCACGGCUGCAGCCAUCCCCAGACACCCUACCUGCAUCACGGUGCUGCAGGGAACGAUGCCGGACUCCUUUGCCAUCCACUUCCUCAAGGUGCUGCGGGAGCUGCUGGUGUUUGUGCUGUUCAGCUACACCGUGCUGGUGGGAGCGCUCCUGCUGGCUGGCUGGACGACGUAUUUCUUGGUGCUCAAAUGACAACUUGUUCCCUGCUCCUGCAGUCCUGGGCUGCCCAGAAGCACCUGGCUCCACCGCACAGCUCGUCCCACACAUCUGCUCAGCGCACAGGAUGGCAGCCCCUUCCUCCUGCACCAACUCUGCAAGCAUUUUGUUCCGUUACCACCUCAUCACAAUCUUAUUUUCUUAUGUAAAAAAGAAAGAUUAAAAGAAAUACCAUCUACAUGAA